Molecule: ribosomal RNA, 683 nt
Filed under: Gammarus sp. ZEH-2007e
Lineage: Eukaryota; Metazoa; Arthropoda; Malacostraca; Amphipoda; Gammaridae
Description: eukaryotic LSU rRNA
Rfam family: Eukaryotic large subunit ribosomal RNA
Source: RNAcentral
AACCUCCCGGGCCACCCGGCCUGCGGCGGAAUGUUGCGUAAAGGGAAAGGUCGUAGUCAAACCCCACAGCCACGCGAACUCUAAGUCAGCCACGAAUAGGCUAUCCCAACUAACGGCGGGAAAGACUCCACGGAGGGUGUAAGACCCGUGUGGGCGCGUGUCAAAGCUGUGCGGGCUCGGCCUCUUUUCCCUGAGAGUCGCGUUGCUUGAGCAUGCAGCGCUAAGCAGGUCGUAAACUCGAUCUAAGGCUAAAUAUCUCCACAGAACCGAUAGCGAACAAGUACCGUGAGGGAAAGUUGAAAAGCACUCUGGAGAGAGAGUCAAAAGACCGUGAAACCGCUCAGAGUAUAAGCCCAUGGCAGCUUGGAAGGCAUAUCGCUAGCGGGGCAUCGGUCUUCCUUCGCGGGGAGCUGGUGUUACCUUGCUUCUGUUGUGGCUCGUCAUGGUAGGGGGGUCAAGUCCACAUCCCGCCAACGUGUGGGGAGUUCUCGGGCGUGUUGUUGUCUCUCGGUCGACUUCGGUUGGUCGUUGGGCUCUUCGCGCUUGGUUCUUCUUCAACACGGACGUUCAGACUCAAAGGCAAGACGCGAUAACCAGCCCACCACGGCACGUUGUGAGGUCACCCACAGGCUCAACUUUCGAUUGUGGUCCUUGACGCCGAGCAAGCACAAUGCGUGUCGCAA